GAAGAUGCUGUAGCGUCCUCACCGGCUGCCAGCAGGGAAAUGGUCCAAGAGUGCUGGGUGUGAGCCUCCCUUCUCCUCAAGCCGGAGACUGCGGUUGUCAUUGAUCAAUUGAAGAAGCAAGGACCCGAAAUCACAGACAUUAGCAAUGAUGUGUGAAGUGAUGCCCACGAUUAAUGAGGACACCCCAAUGAGCCAAAGGGGGUCCCAAAGCAGUGGCUCGGACUCAGACUCCCAUUUUGAGCAGCUGAUGGUGAAUAUGCUAGAUGAAAGGGAUCGUCUUCUAGACACCCUUCGGGAGACCCAGGAAAGCCUCUCACUUGCCCAGCAAAGACUUCAGGAUGUCAUCUAUGACCGAGACUCACUCCAGAGACAGCUCAAUUCAGCCCUGCCACAGGAUAUCGAAUCCCUAACAGGAGGGCUGGCUGGUUCUAAGGGGGCUGAUCCACCGGUAAGUUAGAUUCUUCAUUAAAUUUAACUGUUGAUGAAUUGAAUUGUGUACACACCAGAUUAUCAGUUGAUUGCUUGUAUAUUAUUUGUCAUAUGCAGGUAAUUUUUAUAAAUACGGCUAUUAUAGAAACUAAU
This 582-nucleotide small RNA is filed under the name Pan troglodytes (chimpanzee). RNAcentral describes it as "retained intron". The record is from RNAcentral. Lineage: Eukaryota; Metazoa; Chordata; Mammalia; Primates; Hominidae.